GAGGAAUAUUGGUCAAUGGAUGGAAAUCUGAACCAGCCAAGUAGCGUGCAGGAUGACGGCCCUAUGGGUUGUAAACUGCUUUUAUGUGAGAAUAAAGUUAGGUAUGUAUACUUAUUUGCAUGUAUCACAUGAAUAAGGACCGGCUAAUUCCGUGCCAGCAGCCGCGGUAAUACGGAAGGUCCAGGCGUUAUCCGGAUUUAUUGGGUUUAAAGGGAGCGUAGGCGGAUUGUUAAGUCAGCGGUUAAAGGGUGUGGCUCAACCAUACAUUGCCGUUGAAACUGGCGAUCUUGAGUGCAGACAGGGAUGCCGGAAUUCGUGGUGUAGCGGUGAAAUGCUUAGAUAUCACGAAGAACUCCGAUCGCGAAGGCAGGUGUCCGGGCUGCAACUGACGCUGAGGCUCGAAAGUGUGGGUAUCAAACAGGAUUAGAUACCCUGGUAGUCCACACAGUAAACGAUGUAUACUCGCGGUUUGCGAUAGACAGUAAGCCGCCAAGCGAAAGCAUUAAGUAUACCACCUGGGGAGUACGCCGGCAACGGUG
RNAcentral lists this ribosomal RNA (539 nucleotides) under uncultured bacterium. Its description in RNAcentral is "bacterial SSU rRNA". It matches the Rfam family "Bacterial small subunit ribosomal RNA", at positions 356 to 896 of the family's 1533-position model. The record is from RNAcentral.